RNAcentral lists this ribosomal RNA (390 nucleotides) under uncultured bacterium. Its description in RNAcentral is "bacterial SSU rRNA". It matches the Rfam family "Bacterial small subunit ribosomal RNA", at positions 28 to 419 of the family's 1533-position model. The record is from RNAcentral.
GACGAACGCUGGCGGCGUGCUUAACACAUGCAAGUCGAGCGGUAAGGCCCUUUCGGGGGUACACGAGCGGCGAACGGGUGAGUAACACGUGGGUGACCUGCCCUCAGCUCUGGGAUAAGCCUGGGAAACUGGGUCUAAUACUGGAUAUGACUCCACGGUGCAUGUCGUGGGGUGGAAAGCCUUGUGCGGCUGAGGAUGGGCCCGCGGCCUAUCAGCUUGUUGGUGGGGUGANGGCCUACCAAGGCGACGACGGGUAGCCGGCCUGAGAGGGCGACCGGCCACACUGGGACUGAGACACGGCCCAGACUCCUACGGGAGGCAGCAGUGGGGAAUCUUGCGCAAUGGGCGAAAGCCUGACGCAGCGACGCCGCGUGAGGGAUGACGGCCUGG